Molecule: non-coding RNA, 87 nt
Organism: Phanerochaete carnosa HHB-10118-sp
Lineage: Eukaryota; Fungi; Basidiomycota; Agaricomycetes; Polyporales; Phanerochaetaceae
Source: the annotation of a RefSeq genome assembly
GCCGGGAUAGCUCAGCUGGGAGAGCAACAGACUGAAGCCUCUUGUGAGAUCUUCUGGAGGUCCCGUGUUCAAUCCACGGUCCUGGCA